GACGAACGCUGGCGGCGUGCUUAACACAUGCAAGUCGAACGGAAAGGCCCUGCUUUUGUGGGGUGCUCGAGUGGCGAACGGGUGAGUAACACGUGAGUAACCUGCCCUUGACUUUGGGAUAACUUCAGGAAACUGGGGCUAAUACCGGAUAGGAGCUCCUGCUGCAUGGUGGGGGUUGGAAAGUUUCGGCGGUCGGGGAUGGACUCGCGGCUUAUCAGCUUGUUGGUGGGGUAGUGGCUUACCAAGGCUUUGACGGGUAGCCGGCCUGGGAGGGUGACCGGCCACAAUGGGACUACGGGACGGCCCAGAGUCCUACGGUGGGCAGCAGUGGGGAAUAUUGCACAGUGGGCGGAAGCCUGAUGCGGCAGCGCCGCGUUCGGGAUGACGGCCUUCGGGUUGUGAACCGCUUUCGCCUGUGACGAAGCGUGAGUGACGGUAAUGGGUAAAGAAGCACCGGCUAACUACGUG
This 468-nucleotide ribosomal RNA is filed under the name uncultured bacterium. RNAcentral's name for it is "partial 16S ribosomal RNA". It matches the Rfam family "Bacterial small subunit ribosomal RNA", at positions 28 to 507 of the family's 1533-position model. The record is from RNAcentral.